RNAcentral lists this long non-coding RNA (682 nucleotides) under Pan troglodytes (chimpanzee). RNAcentral describes it as "long non-coding RNA NONPTRT013451". The record is from RNAcentral. Lineage: Eukaryota; Metazoa; Chordata; Mammalia; Primates; Hominidae.
GCAGACUGCACAGAUGGAACAUGGAAAGGCUUUUAACAGAAAUGAAUACUUUCAGACCAGUUUUGAAGGACUGAGUAGGAGUAAACUAAAAGAGAAAAAGCAGGACAAAAGAAGCACCACUUUGGAAGCUCAAAGCCGCACUGGAAACACAGUCUUUCAGGAUGUCUGAAAGGGGCAAGUCUGUUUGUGUGGGGUAAGAAAUGCGGGGAGACAAACGGACAGUGGACAGAUUGCAGAGAGCUCUGUGUGCUGAGAGGAGGGUGCAGACCAGAUUUUUAAAUUGAGAAUGCAACAGUGAAGGAUUUCAAGCUUGGAGUGAGAGGGGAGACUACGAGCCUGCAGUGAUAAGGCAAAGCUGAAGAUUUCAGAGCCAAGGCCACACCCUACAGUUGCCAUGGAAUGGGGUGGCACAGUGGGCUUUGGAGGAAUCAAAGCUGGAGGAGCGGAAGAUAUACAGGGAGUCCACGGAGCCUCCCCUGCAAGCAUCAGUACAGAAGUCGAUGAUAAUCUGGAUGCAAGCCCAGGAGUGUGGAGUCCACUGACUCAGAAGACCUGCAUCUAAGGAAUUGGCUGUUCUUAUCCUUAAGAAUGAUGACUGUGUUUCCAAUUCCAGUAGACCCUUUGAUGCGUUCUGAAUAAAUAUUCCUUUUGGAAUUGAACUUCUAGAGCCCUUAACUUUGGC